UACGAAGGGGGCUAGCGUUGCUCGGAAUCACUGGGCGUAAAGCGCACGUAGGCGGAUCUUUAAGUCAGGGGUGAAAUCCCAAGGCUCAACCUUGGAACUGCCUUUGAUACUGGGGAUCUCGAGUCCGGAAGAGGUGAGUGGAACUGCGAGUGUAGAGGUGAAAUUCGUAGAUAUUCGCAAGAACACCAGUGGCGAAGGCGGCUCACUGGUCCGGUACUGACGCUGAGGUGCGAAAGCGUGGGGAGCAAACAGG
Molecule: ribosomal RNA, 253 nt
Filed under: uncultured bacterium
Lineage: Bacteria
Description: partial 16S ribosomal RNA
Rfam family: Bacterial small subunit ribosomal RNA
Source: RNAcentral